GCUGAGGAGCAGCCUGCCCAGGGAACGGCUGCCCAACGGGUAGCAGGGACUCCUUGUGGAAGCAAAUCCCAAAGGCAGUGGGCCUGUCAUUAGGUGGACAGUGAACGUUCCUGUUCUGCAGACCAAGCCGCUUCCCUGGCGUUUCAGAGGAGAACUCCUGCUUACGGUUCUGGAUUAGAAAAUGCACAUUUGGAGGAGAAUCCUUAAAUGUAACUCCCCUAGAAACAAAUGGAUACAGUAUAUGACUGACGAUUACCCCUGUUCGGACCAGCGGCUUCCACACCAAAAUCCAAGGUACCACUGG
This is a long non-coding RNA of Tympanuchus pallidicinctus (lesser prairie-chicken), 304 nucleotides long. RefSeq lists it as uncharacterized. The record is from RefSeq and is a predicted model, not a curated record. NCBI's taxonomy places the organism in Eukaryota, Metazoa, Chordata, Aves, Galliformes, Phasianidae. The transcript has 3 exons.